GAUCUGGCUCAGGAUGAACGCUAGCUACAGGCUUAACACAUGCAAGUCGAGGGGCAGCAUGAUCUAGCUGCUAAGAUUGAUGGCGACCGGCGCACGGGUGAGUAACGCGUAUCCAACCUUCCCUAUAGUAGGGGAUAGCCCGUAGAAAUGCGGAUUAAUACCCUAUGUUGUAUUUCGAUGACAUCUGACGAAUACCAAAGGUUCACCGCUAUAGGAUGGGGAUGCGUCUGAUUAGGUAGUCGGCGGGUAACGGCCCACCGAGCCAACGAUCAGUAGGGGUUCUGAGAGGAAGGUCCCCCACAUUGGAACUGAGACACGGUCCAAACUCCUACGGGAGGCAGCAGUGAGGAAUAUUGGUCAAUGGGCGAGAGCCUGAACCAGCCAAGUAGCGUGCAAGGAUGACGGCCCUAUGGGUUGUAAACUGCUUUUAUGCGGGGAUAAAGUGCGGCACGUGUGCCGUUUUGUAGGUACCGCAUGAAUAAGGACCGGCUAAUUCCGUGCCAGCAGCAGC
This 511-nucleotide ribosomal RNA is filed under the name uncultured bacterium. RNAcentral describes it as "bacterial SSU rRNA". It matches the Rfam family "Bacterial small subunit ribosomal RNA", at positions 15 to 518 of the family's 1533-position model. The record is from RNAcentral.